This 464-nucleotide ribosomal RNA is filed under the name uncultured bacterium. Its description in RNAcentral is "partial 16S ribosomal RNA". It matches the Rfam family "Bacterial small subunit ribosomal RNA", at positions 339 to 795 of the family's 1533-position model. The record is from RNAcentral.
CUACGGGGGGCUCCAGUGGGGAAUUUUGGACAAUGGGCGCAAGCCUGAUCCAGCCAUUCCGCGUGAGUGAAGAAGGCCUUCGGGUUGUAAAGCUCUUUCGCAAGGGAAGAAAACUUAUCCUCUAACAUAGGGUGAGGUUGACGGUACCUUGAUAAGAAGCACCGGCUAACUACGUGCCAGCAGCCGCGGUAAUACGUAGGGUGCGAGCGUUAAUCGGAAUUACUGGGCGUAAAGCGUGCGCAGGCUGUUUUGUAAGUCAGAUGUGAAAUCCCCGAGCUCAACUUGGGAACUGCGUCUGAAACUACAAGACUAGAAUAUGUCAGAGGGGGGUAGAAUUCCAUGUGUAGCAGUGAAAUGCGUAGAGAUGUGGAGGAAUACCAAUGGCGAAGGCAGCCCCCUGGGAUAAUAUUGACGCUCAUGCACGAAAGCGUGGGGAGCAAACAGGAUUAGAUACCCCAGUAGUC